UCUAAGUUUCUAUGUCUAACGUUUGACUAUGCAUUUUAUAUAAAUUUUUUUUAUAAUUAGUAUUUUCAUUGUUGUUAGAUAAUAAAACAUGAAUAAUACUUUACGUGUGACUUAUCUUUUUAAUUUUUUUUAUAAUUUUUUUUAAAUAAGACGGACGGUUAAACGUUGAACACGAAAAUCAAGAAUUGAGUUAUU
Molecule: microRNA precursor, 195 nt
Filed under: Oryza barthii
Lineage: Eukaryota; Viridiplantae; Streptophyta; Magnoliopsida; Poales; Poaceae
Description: MIR812 microRNA precursor family
Rfam family: MIR812 microRNA precursor family
Source: Rfam by way of RNAcentral